UGGCCUACGGGGGGCAGCAGUGGGGAAUAUUGGGCAAUGGGCGCAAGCCUGACCCAGCAACGCCGCGUGAAGGAAGAAGGCUUUCGGGUUGUAAACUCCUUUUAAGAGGGAAGAGAAGAAGACGGUACCUCUUGAAUAAGCCACGGCUAACUACGUGCCAGCAGCCGCGAUAAUACGUAGGCGGCAAGCGUUGUCCGGAUUUACUGGGUGUAAAGUGCGUGCAGCCGGGCGGACAAAUCAGAUGUGAAGUCCCGCGGCUCACCCGCGGAACUGCAUU
RNAcentral lists this ribosomal RNA (277 nucleotides) under uncultured bacterium. RNAcentral describes it as "partial 16S ribosomal RNA". It matches the Rfam family "Bacterial small subunit ribosomal RNA", at positions 335 to 627 of the family's 1533-position model. The record is from RNAcentral.